GACGAACGCUGGCGGCGUGCUUAACACAUGCAAGUCGAACGCUUAAGCUCAGCUUUUGUUGGUUGGAUGAGUGGCGAACGUGUGUGUUACACGUGAGUCACCUUCCCCCUUCUUUGUGAUAAUGCCCGGAAACGGGUGCUAAUACUUGCUAUUCACUGGUCUUCGCAUGGGGGUUUGUGGACAUGGUUUUUCUGGUGGGGGAGGGUCUCGCGGCCUAUUAGCUUGUUGGUGGGGUGAUGGCCUAACCAGGCUUUGCCGGGUAGACGGCCUGAGUGGGUGACCGGGAACAUAGGGACUGAGAUGAGGCCCAGACGCAGAAGGGAGGCAGAAGUGGGGAAUAUUGCACAAUGGGCGAAAGAGUGAUGCAGCGACGGCGAGGAAGGGAUGGAGACAUGCGAGUUGUGAAACUCUUUCGCUAAUGGACAAGACGAAAAAAUGGUUGUGGUGAGGGUAGUGAGAAAAGAAGCGCCGGCUAACUACGUG
Molecule: ribosomal RNA, 483 nt
Filed under: uncultured bacterium
Lineage: Bacteria
Description: partial 16S ribosomal RNA
Rfam family: Bacterial small subunit ribosomal RNA
Source: RNAcentral